This 200-nucleotide ribosomal RNA is filed under the name uncultured bacterium. RNAcentral describes it as "partial 16S ribosomal RNA". It matches the Rfam family "Bacterial small subunit ribosomal RNA", at positions 8 to 218 of the family's 1533-position model. The record is from RNAcentral.
AGAGUUUGAUCCUGGCUCAGAAUCAACGCUGGCGGCGCGCCUAACACAUGCAAGUCGAACGAGAACGGCUCAGCAAUGGGCUUAGUAAAGUGGCGUACGGGUGAGUAACACGUGGAUCAUCUACCCUCCUGUGGGGGAUAACCCGGGGAAACCUGGGCUAAUACCGCAUAACAUCCGCAAGGAUCAAAGGAGCAAUUCGC